CGGUCAUUCGGUUCUGGGUCAAAGUUCCAGUCUUGUCAGAGCAGAUGGUGGAGGUCGAGCCAAGAAGAGAACAGGUCUGAACU
Sinocyclocheilus grahami is the source of this 83-nucleotide long non-coding RNA. RefSeq lists it as uncharacterized. The record is from RefSeq and is a predicted model, not a curated record. NCBI's taxonomy places the organism in Eukaryota, Metazoa, Chordata, Actinopteri, Cypriniformes, Cyprinidae. The transcript has 3 exons.